UGCAGCGUUCUGUGUGGAUGUGCUUC
Molecule: non-coding RNA, 26 nt
Filed under: Rattus norvegicus (Norway rat)
Lineage: Eukaryota; Metazoa; Chordata; Mammalia; Rodentia; Muridae
Source: RNAcentral